GACAGAGGGUGCAAACGUUGUUCGGAAUUACUGGGCGUAAAGCGCGUGUAGGCUGCUCGGAAAGUCGGAUGUGAAAGCCCUGGGCUCAACCUAGGAAGUGCAUUCGAAACUUCCGAGCUGGAGUGCUGGAGAGGAAGGCGGAAUUCUCGGUGUAGAGGUGAAAUUCGUAGAUAUCGAGAGGAACACCGGUGGCGAAGGCGGCCUUCUGGACAGCGACUGACGCUGAGACGCGAAGGCGUGGGGAGCGAACGGG
Molecule: ribosomal RNA, 253 nt
Filed under: uncultured bacterium
Lineage: Bacteria
Description: partial 16S ribosomal RNA
Rfam family: Bacterial small subunit ribosomal RNA
Source: RNAcentral